GACGAACGCUGGCGGCGUGCCUAAUACAUGCAAGUUGAGCGAUGAAGCUUGGUGCUUGCACCAAUUUGAAGAGCAGCGAACGGGUGAGUAACGCGUGGGGAAUCUGCCUUUGAGCGGGGGACAACAUUUGGAAACGAAUGCUAAUACCGCAUAACAACUUUAAACAUAAGUUUUAAGUUUGAAAGAUGCAAUUGCAUCACUCAAAGAUGAUCCCGCGUUGUAUUAGCUAGUUGGUGAGGUAAAGGCUCACCAAGGCGAUGAUACAUAGCCGACCGGAGAGGGUGAUCGGCCACAUUGGGACGGAGACACGGCCCAAACUCCUACGGGAGGCAGCAGUAGGGAAUCUUCGGCAAUGGACGAAAGUCUGACCGAGCAACGCCGCGUGAGUGAAGAAGGUUUUCGGAUCGUAAAACUCUGUUGGUAGGGAAGAACGUUGGUGAGAGUGGAAAGCUCAUCAAGUGACGGUAACUACCCAGAAAGGGACGGCUAACUACGUG
Molecule: ribosomal RNA, 497 nt
Filed under: uncultured bacterium
Lineage: Bacteria
Description: partial 16S ribosomal RNA
Rfam family: Bacterial small subunit ribosomal RNA
Source: RNAcentral